RNAcentral lists this ribosomal RNA (439 nucleotides) under uncultured bacterium. Its description in RNAcentral is "partial 16S ribosomal RNA". It matches the Rfam family "Bacterial small subunit ribosomal RNA", at positions 338 to 795 of the family's 1533-position model. The record is from RNAcentral.
CCUACGGGAGGCAGCAGUGGGGAAUAUUGCACAAUGGGGGGAACCCUGAUGCAGCGACGCCGCGUGAGUGAAGAAGUAUUUCGGUAUGUAAAGCUCUAUCAGCAGGGAAGAAAAUGACGGUACCUGACUAAGAAGCCCCGGCUAACUACGUGCCAGCAGCCGCGGUAAUACGUAGGGGGCAAGCGUUAUCCGGAUUUACUGGGUGUAAAGGGAGCGCAGACGGCUGUGCAAGUCUGGAGUGAAAGGCGGGGGCACAACCCCGGACUGCUCUGGAAACUGUAAAGCUGGAGUGCAGGAGAGGUAAGCGGAAUUCCUAGUGUAGCGGUGAAAUGCGUAGAUAUUAGAAGGAACACCAGUGGCGAAGGCGGCUUACUGGACUGCAACUGACGUUGAGGCUCGAAAGCGUGGGGAGCAAACAGGAUUAGAUACCCGAGUAGUC